Molecule: non-coding RNA, 97 nt
Organism: Chaetomidium leptoderma
Lineage: Eukaryota; Fungi; Ascomycota; Sordariomycetes; Sordariales; Chaetomiaceae
Source: the annotation of a GenBank genome assembly
GGCUGCGUGGCGUAAUGGUAGCGUGUGGUCCUCCUACAGAGAAAUUUGAAGGAGAAUUGCCAGACUGAGGUUGUGGGUUCGAGUCCCACCGUGGUCG